This 395-nucleotide ribosomal RNA is filed under the name uncultured bacterium. Its description in RNAcentral is "partial 16S ribosomal RNA". It matches the Rfam family "Bacterial small subunit ribosomal RNA", at positions 338 to 729 of the family's 1533-position model. The record is from RNAcentral.
CCUACGGGAGGCAGCAGUGGGGAAUAUUGCGCAAUGGGCGAAAGCCUGAACCAGCCAAGCCGCGUGAGGGAAGAAGGUACAGCGUAUCGUAAACCUCUUUUGUCAGGGAACAAAAGCGGGGACUAGUCCCCGGAUGAGGGUACCUGAAGAAAAAGCAUCGGCUAACUCCGUGCCAACAGCCGCGGUAAUACGGGGGGUACGAGGGUUAUCCGGAUUUAUUGGGUUUAAAGGGGGCGUAGGCUGGGUGGUAAGUCAGCGGUGAAAUGCCCCCGCUCCACGGGGUGAAGGGCCAUUGAUACUGGCAGGCUGGAGUGCGGAAGAGGUGGGAGGAAUGUGUGGUGUAGCGGUGAAAUGCGUAGAUAUCACGAAGAACACCGAUUGCGAAGGCAGCUCAC